UAAGGGUCUGAAAAGCGAGGUGAAGCUGG
This 29-nucleotide non-coding RNA is filed under the name Mus musculus (house mouse). The record is from RNAcentral. Lineage: Eukaryota; Metazoa; Chordata; Mammalia; Rodentia; Muridae.